UACCUAUGUGUCCAGGAAGUUAAUAUGA
RNAcentral lists this non-coding RNA (28 nucleotides) under Mus musculus (house mouse). The record is from RNAcentral. Lineage: Eukaryota; Metazoa; Chordata; Mammalia; Rodentia; Muridae.